Sorghum bicolor (sorghum) is the source of this 1245-nucleotide long non-coding RNA. RefSeq lists it as uncharacterized. NCBI's taxonomy places the organism in Eukaryota, Viridiplantae, Streptophyta, Magnoliopsida, Poales, Poaceae. The record is from RefSeq and is a predicted model, not a curated record. The transcript has 7 exons.
CAGUUAGCACUUGUUUCCCAAUCUCUUAAGGCCGCCGCCGCCGCCACCGCCGCCGUCUUGGUGCUUCUUCAAUCUUCAUUGUGGAGUGUCCGUGCGAAGACGCCCCUCCCCUCCUUGGCUCCUUCCCUGCCACCGCCAUGGUGAAGUACUCGCAGUCGCAGGAGCCGGUGAACCCUACCAAGUCGGCCAAGGCCAUGGGCAGGGAUCUGAGGGUCCACUUCAAGAACACAAAGCUUUUGCGCUUCGCAAGCUGCCUUUGACCAAGGCUAAGCGAUACCUUGAGGAUGUUAUGUCUCACAAGCAGGCAAUUCCCUUCCGGAGAUACUUUGGGGAUGUUGAAGCAAAGUCUCGCCAUUCCAAUGGACAGGGUCACUGGCCUGUUAAAUCAGCCAGGUUCAUAUUCGAUUUGCUGAAAGGUGAAAGGUUUGGAUGUGGACAACCUCUAUGUUUCACACAUCCAAGUGAACCAAGCCCAGAAGCAGAGGCGCUGCACCUACUGUGCUCACGGACGCAUCAAUCCUUACAUGUCCUCACCUUGCCACAUUGAGCUGAUCCUGUCAGAGAAGGAAGAGCCUGUGAAGAAAGAGGCCGACAACAUUUGUUGCAGCAGGGAAGUGAAGUAUAUUAGCCUGCUGAUCGAGGGCAUUUUGUCGAAGUAUUAUAGCCGUAGCUCUUUUAUGUACCUUUUCAGGCAGCCAUGCCUCUUAAGAUGUUUCCGGUACCGAUAUGUUGAACCUGGAUUUUCUAUGUUUAGUACUGUGCUUGAGUGUAAGGUUAGUUCGUAAUACAAUAGCUCUAACCGUGUGUUUGGUUGGAGAGCGGAGCGAGUUGGGUCGGAGCGAACCCAUUCUCUUGUCUGUUUGGUUGGAGGAUGGGAGGGUUGGGUUGGCUCCAGGGUGGAAUAUUCCUCUCAGAUGCGGGUUGGACCCGUCCCUCAAAAUCUGGCGGACGGAGCCGCUCCAACCGGGUUGGCUCCCACCAAACACUGAAUUCCUUCAUCCAAACACUGGAUGGAGCCGCUCUGUCCCCAAUCCUUCAACCAAACACUAAAAUGGGUUGGCUCCGUCCCCAAAAGCAGAAGUGCAACCAAACACUGGAUGGGUUGACUCCGUCCCAAAAAACUGGGUUGGAUCUAACCCAACUCACUCAACCCCCAACCAAACACACGGUAAGAUAUCUGGGUACUCAAUCUCUGUGGACUAAUUUGAUUUACUUGAAUAUGAUUAGUGUGAUAUUAUUUCAAAA